Molecule: ribosomal RNA, 328 nt
Filed under: uncultured bacterium
Lineage: Bacteria
Description: bacterial SSU rRNA
Rfam family: Bacterial small subunit ribosomal RNA
Source: RNAcentral
AGCGCAGGCGGGUUGGCAAGUCCUUGGUGAAAUCCUGAGGCUUAACCUCAGGACUGCCAAUGAUACUGCCGAUCUUGAGUGCAGAAGAGGAAGACGGAAUUCCUGGUGUAGCGGUGAAAUGCGUAGAUAUCAGGAAGAACACCGGUGGCGAAGGCGGUCUUCUGGUCUGUAACUGACGCUCAUGCUCGAAAGCGUGGGGAGCAAACAGGAUUAGAUACCCUGGUAGUCCACGCCCUAAACGAUGGAUACUCAAUGUCGGGUCGCAAGGCCCGGUGUCCAAGCUAACGCGUUAAGUAUCCCACCUGGGGAGUACGAUCGCAAGGUUGAA